ACUCCUACGGGAGGCAGCAGUGGGGAAUUUUGGACAAUGGGCGAAAGCCUGAUCCAGCAAUGCCGCGUGAGUGAAGAAGGCCUUCGGGUUGUAAAGCUCUUUUGUCAGGGAAGAAACGGUGAAAGCUAAUAUCUUUUGCUAAUGACGGUACCUGAAGAAUAAGCACCGGCUAACUACGUGCCAGCAGCCGCGGUAAUACGUAGGGUGCAAGCGUUAAUCGGAAUUACUGGGCGUAAAGCGUGCGCAGGCGGUUUUGUAAGUCUGAUGUGAAAUCCCCGGGCUCAACCUGGGAAUUGCAUUGGCGACUGCAAGGCUAGAAUCUGGCAGAGGGGGGUAGAAUUCCACGUGUAGCAGUGAAAUGCGUAGAUAUGUGGAGGAACACCGAUGGCGAAGGCAGCCCCCUGGGUCAAGAUUGACGCUCAUGCACGAAAGCGUGGGGAGCAAACAGGAUUAGAUACCCGUGUAGUCCCA
This 471-nucleotide ribosomal RNA is filed under the name uncultured organism. RNAcentral's name for it is "partial 16S ribosomal RNA". It matches the Rfam family "Bacterial small subunit ribosomal RNA", at positions 335 to 797 of the family's 1533-position model. The record is from RNAcentral.